GACGAACGCUGGCGGCGUGCUUAACACAUGCAAGUCGAACGGAAAGGCCCUGCUUUUGUGGGGUGCUCGAGUGGCGAACGGGUGCGUAACACGUGAGUAACCUGCCCUUGACUUUGGGAUAACUUCAGGAAACUGGGGCUAAUACCGGAUAGGAGCUCCUGCUGCAUGGUGGGGGGUGGAAAGUUUCGGCGGUUGGGGAUGGACUCGCGGCUUAUCAGCUUGUUGGUGGGGUAGUGGCUUACCAAGGCUUUGACGGGUAGCCGGCCUGAGAGGGUGACCGGCCACAUUGGGACUGAGAGACGGCCCAGACUCCUACGGGAGGCAGCAGUGGGGAAUAUUGCACAAUGGGCGGAAGCCUGAUGCAGCAACGCCGCGUGCGGGAUGACGGCCUUCGGGUUGUAAACCGCUUUCGCCUGUGACGAAGCGUGAGUGACGGUAAUGGGUAAAGAAGCACCGGCUAACUACGUG
This 468-nucleotide ribosomal RNA is filed under the name uncultured bacterium. RNAcentral's name for it is "partial 16S ribosomal RNA". It matches the Rfam family "Bacterial small subunit ribosomal RNA", at positions 28 to 507 of the family's 1533-position model. The record is from RNAcentral.